GCUGGAGGCGAUUCUCUUGCAUGAGCGAGGGGUGCAGCCUGGUUCCACCCGGCCCUGAGCUCACGGAAGGGCUGGCUGCCCGCAGGGAAGGAGCUCUGCUUGAGCUCUGCUCCUGGGUGGGCUUUUGUGUGCCCUGUUCCUCAGGAAGGGGUAAGCAGUGCUGGGGUUAUUUGCUAGAUGGAGUGCGUUUGUGUUUCUUGGCUUCCUGAAAGCUGUGUCUGUCUUUUUCACUGCCGGCUGGAGAGACUCGGGGGAGAAAGCGUUGUGCUUGAUGGCACGGUUUCCUUGGGCAAAGGAUGCUUUGGCAGCAGAGGUUUGCUGUCAGGAGGCAUGAAAGCACUGAAGCCAAUGCUGCCGUGCCCUGGGCCCAGAGACAUCAUCUCCCAGCACGUCCCUGGCGGUGGAUGUGUGCAAGCUCUGUGUCUGCCAGUGGUUGCUCCAAAGGCUUUGUGGUCAGCUGUGCGUGGCUGUUUUGCUCUUGAGGGCGUGGGAACAGAGGGCAACACGCUGAUGGGAGUGAUGGUGUCCUGCUCAGCAAUGGAUGUGCUGGGUGGCAGAAGAGGAUUCUUGGCCGAGCGUGGAAAAUCUCUCUGCUCCUUCCUGAAGGACGCAAUCUUCCACUUGGAAAGGGCCUCCAACGAUCCCUGGUAUCCUCUGAGAGCUCUGAGCUGCCACACCAAUUUGAAGCUGACUUCAUUUUUGGUCUUCCCCUUCAGCAGAAAAGCUCAGACAGCCGAGCCAAGCGAGACGCUGGAUUUCCUUUGGCAUCAAGGAAAGCAUCGUGAGAUGUUCUGAUGCCCUCUCACAAUUCUUUCUCCCUCCGCCAGCACCAGAGCUGGCGUCCAAAGACGCAAUGACACUGCCACAGGCAUUGUGGAGAUUUCUAUGGGAUAGGGCCAUGGUAAGGCUUUAUUGACAGAGGGAGGGACAAUGAAGAUUGGAUGUCAGGGAGAAGGUCUUUCCAGAGACGGUGGUGAGAUGCUGGAAGCGGAUGCCCAGAGAGCUUGUGGACGCCGCGUCCGUGGCAGUGUUGAAGGCCAGGUUGGAUUGGGCACUCGGCAGCCUAGUCUAGGAUUAGAUAUGAUGCAGAUGGGAUUCACGCAUCUGUUUUGCAGCCAGCUCGAGUGGAGCUCUUGGAGCUCAUGGGCGCCCCAUGCCCGCAUCAGCGUGGGUAGUGUGUGCCCUUCCUGCGCGAUGGGGCUUUGCUGUUUGGAGGCUGACGCUGAGGAGACUGUGUUUCUUCGUUUAUCGGUGGC
This 1256-nucleotide long non-coding RNA is filed under the name Gallus gallus (chicken). RNAcentral describes it as "lncRNA (ENSGALG00010000368.1)". The record is from RNAcentral. Lineage: Eukaryota; Metazoa; Chordata; Aves; Galliformes; Phasianidae.